RNAcentral lists this ribosomal RNA (369 nucleotides) under uncultured bacterium. Its description in RNAcentral is "bacterial SSU rRNA". It matches the Rfam family "Bacterial small subunit ribosomal RNA", at positions 527 to 896 of the family's 1533-position model. The record is from RNAcentral.
GUAGGCAGCAAGCGUUGUUCGGAAUUACUGGGCGUAAAGAGUGUGUAGGCGGUGUUCUAAGUCUGUCGUGAAAUCUCCCGGCUUAACUGGGAGGGUGCGGCGGAAACUGGAAUGCUAGAGGGUGGGAGAGGAAAGCGGAAUUCCUGGUGUAGCGGUGAAAUGCGUAGAUAUCAGGAGGAACACCUGCGGUGUAGACAGCUUUCUGGACCACUUCUGACGCUGAGACACGAAAGCGUGGGUAGCAAACAGGAUUAGAUACCCUGGUAGUCCACGCCCUAAACGAUGCAUACUUGGUGUGAGCGAUUCAUUUCGUUCGUGCCGGAGCUAACGCGUUAAGUAUGCCGCCUGGGGAGUACGGUCGCAAGGCUG